AUCACAGCAUUGUGCAGCAUAUAAACCACUGAGCUUUAAACUCCAGACGGACAGAGGAAAACCUUUCAGAGGUGAGGAUGUGCUGGUUUGUGUUUUUGUAUAACUCAAUAUGUAAAAUCACAUUAAUGAUCAACUAAAUGCCGUGAAAAUAGCAGCUAAUGUCUAUUGCAUAUAUAGAUAUUCAUAUGUGAAUGAGGUUAUGAAGGGAAUGAGGCAGUAGAGGGCGAUACUGAUUAUUCCUUAAAUAUCUGCCACACAUCUUCCUCUUGGAGCUCGUGGACAUGCUGGAAAUCACUAGAAUGAGAGUUGAGGUCUGGACUGUGUUCUGAUAGAGGACUGUGUGUGUUCAUCAAGUGGAAGUUGAUUUGAUUGUUUUGCUGCUUGAGGUUUCUGCAACUAUUUAUGAGUGUUUGAUGUUUUUAUACUUGUGAUUUAUGUCAGUAUUGUUGUUCUUUUGUAUAAUAACCACACCUUGAUCCACAUGUUGAUCCAUAUCUCAAAUAAAAGCAACUAAUGAACUUUGUGUUUUAUAAUCGAUGCCCCACAGUGAUUUUCUAUUUAACUAGUUCUCAUGAAACUUUAUUACAGAGGUUGCAGAUGCAGUCAGGAGUUCACUUGCUCUCCAGUGUUCACGGACCAGAUCUGACUGAUCCAAUAUGGUGGACGACUCACAUGUAGAUCUCAAUCAUGUCACAGAUCUAUAAGAGCACAAAAUCUCAAGGCAGAUAUACAUUUUCCACAACAUUUUUAGUCUAAAGAGGGUAUGAAUAUGAGGAAAUUUAACAGUGACACUGAUGGACUUUGUCUAGUUGUUUCUCUCAUCUAAUGCUUUGAAUGCUGACCUCAAUAAUUUAUUAAAAAAAGAUGAAUUUAGAUGAUUUUAUUUCAGAUGUUUGUGUGACGAUGUUGUUUCAGAUCCUCCUUUGAGCAGCUGCAGUAUCAGUUCAGUCACUGUGACUCUGACUGACGGAGGUUUUUGUACGACUCUUUAUCACUGUGUGAACACAUCUUUACUGUUGAUGUAGUGGAAACUCUGACAGUAAUAAUGUCCAGCAUCUUCAGUCUGGACUCCACUGAUGGUCAGAGUGAAAUCACUGUUAGAUCCACUGCCACUGAAUCUAGAUGGAGUUCCUGACUGGAGGGUGUUUGUAUAAUACAACACAGUCUCACCCCCUACUCGUCAAAUGUCUGACGCAUGGUCAGUAGACCCUGGCGUCACUUUUUAACGCACUGGGUAUACCUUUGGCGUUAUUUUUCGACGUGCAGGGUAGUCCGAUAGACUUCUAUAGAACUCAACAGCGUUGAAAUUUGACGUCUUGGGUCAGCACACCGCAACCCGUUGUCUGCCUUAUGGGUCGACACUACAAUAAAUAAAAAUAAAAAAGGAAUAGGCUACAAAAAAUGAUUUAGUAAGCAUUUUAAGUAAGCAUUUUAAGAGUUUUCUUGUCAUAGGUAGGACACUGCUUUAAUUAUAGCAUGCUGGAUAACGUUUUUAUCGGAGGUUUGUUGAUUUUAAUAAAUAUAUAUAAUAUGCUACGAUUGAGUUCAAUUAAUCUUUUUUUGUUGUUGUUGUUUUAUUAAAUCCUCUAAAUUAAUAACGCUGACGUCAACGUAUGGGCGAUCCCAAGGUCCAUUGCGAUUUUACACUCGAUUUCAAAAUGUCUCAAAGGAAGUUCAAGCCUUGCCCUUCCUGCCAAGCACCUAACCAGGUGAGGGAAAGUGGAAUAGAGCAUUAUGUCCAAUAUUCAAAUAUGUGGUUUUAAUGUUCUACAUUUCUCAUUAUUGGGUCAAUUGGACACUAAAGUAUGCUCCUACUAAAUGACCCUGUAUGAUAUCUGUACUGUGUUACAAAACCGUGAUAAUGUAAGGCAUCUGGUUGAUAUCAAUUUUGAUUGCUUGUUUUGCACCAAACGCCAGAGGCAACAUUGAUUAGAGUAGCCUGGGUGUCUCCUACAUCUGCCACUUUCACUGUAUGAUUAUAAUAAUAAUAAUCCUGUGUCAGUCUAGAGACGCAUAUUCUGAAUUGCAUUGUGCUUCAUGUGUUCCUCUCUUUCCUGUAUACAGCCAAAUUAAACUGUAUCUUGAUUUGUAAUUCUUAUCUGUGACUGUGGAUCUGAUGUCUCACUUUGGUAUACUUUUACCAACACAGGUGAGCCGCAAAACCUGCAGCUCUUGUUUCUCACCCAUCUCCCAAAAAAUCAAAGUAGCUGCCAAAAAAAUGACCCUGGACAGGAAGUGGGGGGAAAGGGUCCUAAAAAAUAGAAAUGCGGGAAGAGUGGUGGACUCUGCCCAUAUUGCAGUAA
Long non-coding RNA from Megalobrama amblycephala (Wuchang bream), 2303 nucleotides. RefSeq lists it as uncharacterized. Lineage: Eukaryota; Metazoa; Chordata; Actinopteri; Cypriniformes; Xenocyprididae. The transcript is spliced from 2 exons. The record is from RefSeq and is a predicted model, not a curated record.